AUUGAACGCUGGCGGCAGGCUUAACACAUGCAAGUCGAGCGGGGGAAGGUAGCUUGCUACCGGACCUAGCGGCGGACGGGUGAGUAAUGCUUAGGAAUCUGCCUACUAGUGGGGGACAACAUCUCGAAAGGGAUGCUAAUACCGCAUACGUCCUACGGGAGAAAGCAGGGGAUCUUCGGACCUUGCGCUAAUAGAUGAGACUAAGUCGGAUUAGCUAGUUGGUGGGGGAAAGGCCUACCAAGGCGACGAUCUGUAGCGGGUCUGAGAGGAUGAUCCGCCACACUGGGACUGAGACACGGCCCAGACUCCUACGGGAGGCAGCAGUGGGGAAUAUUGGACAAUGGGGGGAACCCUGAUCCAGCCAUGCCGCGUGUGUGAAGAAGGCCUUAUGGUUGUAAAGCACUUUAAGCGAGGAGGAGGCUACUUUAGUUAAUACCUAGAGAUAGUGGACGUUACUCGCAGAAUAAGCACCGGCUAACUCUGUGCCAGCCGCCGCCGUAA
This 501-nucleotide ribosomal RNA is filed under the name uncultured bacterium. RNAcentral describes it as "partial 16S ribosomal RNA". It matches the Rfam family "Bacterial small subunit ribosomal RNA", at positions 30 to 523 of the family's 1533-position model. The record is from RNAcentral.